This 253-nucleotide ribosomal RNA is filed under the name uncultured bacterium. RNAcentral's name for it is "partial 16S ribosomal RNA". It matches the Rfam family "Bacterial small subunit ribosomal RNA", at positions 524 to 776 of the family's 1533-position model. The record is from RNAcentral.
UACGGGGGGGGCAAGCGUUGUUCGGAAUUACUGGGCGUAAAGGGCUCGUAGGUGGCCAACUAAGUCAGACGUGAAAUCCCUCGGCUUAACCGGGGAACUGCGUCUGAUACUGGAUGGCUUGAGUUUGGGAGAGGGAAGCGGAAUUCCGGGUGUAGCGGUGAAAUGCGUAGAUAUCCGGAGGAACACCGGUGGCGAAGGCGGCUUCCUGGACCGACACUGACGCUGAGGCGCGAAAGCUAGGGGGGCAAACGGG